Dalotia coriaria is the source of this 951-nucleotide long non-coding RNA. RefSeq lists it as uncharacterized. The record is from RefSeq and is a predicted model, not a curated record. Lineage: Eukaryota; Metazoa; Arthropoda; Insecta; Coleoptera; Staphylinidae. The transcript is spliced from 5 exons.
UGUUUGAGUUUGUGCAUUCGCCUUUUGGAUUUGUUUUUAUCCACAAACACGUGUUCAAGAAAUAACAAAGUUAUCGCAGUUUGAUAUCGGCAUCGGCAUCGACACGAGCAUGGUAACAAGAGAAGAUGUGAGUUCACGUUAGUUUAAUUUUGUUUCUGGUUGUAAGUAGUUGAACUUGAAAGUGGAAAAAAAUGUCAGCCAAUUAUAAAGUGAUUAUAUCGAAAAACUUAAACAAGUAUUCGGUUUUUGCAUUUGCUGUGUGCGGAUCAACAACAUAUCAACGAAACAACUGGUUUUUAACAUUUUGUACAUCUAAUUAAAGGCGUAUCAUUCAAUUUUCAACGUGUUAAGAGGCAAGUUGCGGCGCUAUUCCAAGCGGACUUUAUAUUUUAUUCUGUUUUAGUGUAUGUGUCGGCCUCGCGUGGUAGGUUCCUGAACUGCUGCCCCUCGCUACUCAAUUUCAGAAAUUGUUCCCUAGAUGGCGCCACGGGUAUAUUUCUGGUGAAAAUUUUUCUCAAUUUUUACAAUUUUUUUGUUAUUUGCCGAAUUUAUUUACAAGCGCCGAUUGUGUACGAACUUUUGCCAGUAGCAAAUCAAGCAAUUUUUAGUCAAAACCUGUAACUGGGUAGCAGCGUUGGGUGUAUUAUUGGUACAACACACUGUCGGCUAGAUGGCGCCACGAGGACUGUUUCGGUAAUUAUGCAAUAAAUUUAUAUUUGUUUUCAACCAUCGGUGGCAAAAAAAUAUUGUAAGUACGUACUUUUAAUUAUAAUAAUUUUGUAGCGUUUGUAUGUUGCUUGUACCUUUAUAAUUUAGUUUACAAUUUCAAUUAUUUUUAACUGCCUGCUAAAAAUAUAAUAUGAGUUAUUUACAAAAUUGUUUAAUUGUUAAAUGAUACUAAGAUAGUUUAGCAUAGAAUGGUGGAUAAUUAUUAAAAUAGAUACAAUUAAA